Molecule: long non-coding RNA, 1052 nt
Filed under: Mytilus galloprovincialis (Mediterranean mussel)
Lineage: Eukaryota; Metazoa; Mollusca; Bivalvia; Mytilida; Mytilidae
Source: RNAcentral
UGUGUGAGCCUUUUGUACGAUUGGUUAGAUCCAAAGCAAGGGUUCGUGUGAGCCUUUUGUACGAUUGGUUAGAUCCAAACCAAGGGUUCGUGUGAGCCUUUUGUACGAGUGGUUAGAUCCAAACAAAGGGUUCGUGUGAGCCUUUUUGUACGAUUGGUUAGAUCCAAAUCAAGGGUUCGUGAGAGCCUUUUGUACGAUUCGUUAGAUCCAAACCAAGGGUUCGUGUGAGCCAUUUGUAAGAUUAGUUAGAUCAAAAGCAAGGGUUCAUGUGAGCCUUUUGUUCGAUUGGUUAGAUCCAAAGCAAGGGUUCGUGUGAGCCUUUUGUACGAUUGGUUAGAUCCAAACCAAGGGUUCGUGUGCGCCUUGUGUGAGAUUGGUUAGAUCCAAAUCGAGAGUUUGUGUGAGCCUUUUGUACGAUUGGUUAGAUCCAAAGCAAGGGUUCGUGUUAGUUUUUUGUACGAUUGGUUAGAUCCAAAGCAAGGCCUAGGGUUCGUGUGAGCCUUGCGUACAAUUGGAUGGAUCCAAAACAAGGGUUCGUGUGAGCCUUAAUUUUGUACGAUUUGUUAGAUCCAAAUCAAGGGUUCGUGUGAGCCUUUUGUACGAUUGGUUAUAUCCAAAUUAAGGGUUCGUGUGAGCCUUUUGUACGAUUGGUUAUAUCCAAAUUAAGGGUUCGUGUGAGCCUUUUGUACGAUUUGUAAGAUCCAAAGCAAGGGUUCGUGUUAGCCUUUUGUACGAUUGGUUAGAUCCAAACCAAGGGUUCGUGUGCGCCUUAUGUGAGAUUGGUUAGAUCCAAAUCAAGAGUUUGUGUGAGCCUUUUGUACGAUUGGUUAGAUCCAAAGCAAGGGUUCGUGUGAGCCUUUUGUACGAUUGGUUAGAUCCAAACCAAGGGUUCGUGUGAGCCUUUUGUACGAGUGGUUAGAUCCAAACAAAGGGUUCGUGUGAGCCUUUUUGUACGAUUGGUUAGAUCCAAAUCAAGGGUUCGUGAGAGCCUUUUGUACGAUUCGUUAGAUCCAAACCAAGGGUUCGUGUGAGCCAUUUGUAAGAUUAGUUAG